Gymnodraco acuticeps is the source of this 813-nucleotide long non-coding RNA. RefSeq lists it as uncharacterized. The record is from RefSeq and is a predicted model, not a curated record. Lineage: Eukaryota; Metazoa; Chordata; Actinopteri; Perciformes; Bathydraconidae. The transcript has 3 exons.
CCUCAAGUUGUAAAAAUGUGCUAAUAACGUUAUUCUGAGAGUUAUUUCCCUCGGCAUUAUGAACGCGCAUCUAACCCACGGGACCGCGCUGCCCGGCACGUUCAUGUGAUGUGACGUGUUCAGCACCUCCCCCUUCACACGCGGUCACGUUCAGUGUUCACUGUCACGUCACUGAGGCUAAAGAGACAACGCUUUAUAUAUACAGUCUAUGCUAACAACCGACAACAGUUUGCUCCAAAAGAUGGCAGAAAUAGCCGGAUCGUCAUCCAGAGAGGAAAUCCUGAAGGAAAGUGGGCCUCCCGCCAUACUUGGACAAGGUCCCAAUGUGUGGAUAAUAGGGAGCAGCUACGUUAGACGUGGGGAAGAAAGAGCCAGACACACCAUGGGAAGCAACCUGGGUCUCAAUUGCCGUGUGUGGUGGUUUGGCAAGGGUGGUCUGAGGUGGAGGAACCUUCUUCCCUUUUUCUAUUAGUCCUUGAGAGGAAGAACAGUCCCGGAUGUCCUGCUCAUCCACUGUGGCGGCAACGACCUUGGCAACAUCAAAGGUGUGGAGCUUGUCACAGCGAUGAAGCAGGACCUGCUUUCCCUCAGUGACAACUUCUCAGAGAUGAAGAUAAUUCUAUCUUCUAUCAAUGAGAGAUGUCACUGGAGGAAAGCCAAUCCGGGAAAGCUGAACAAGGCCAGAAUGUGGGUGAACAGAGAGAUGGGUAAAUGUGUUAGUGGUUUGGGUAGAGUGUAAGGCAUCCUUGCAUUAAGUUUGACUGCCCUGGCAUAUUUCUAAGAGAUGGAGUUCAUUUCACCAAUUUGGGAAAU